Molecule: ribosomal RNA, 521 nt
Filed under: uncultured bacterium
Lineage: Bacteria
Description: bacterial SSU rRNA
Rfam family: Archaeal small subunit ribosomal RNA
Source: RNAcentral
AACCUCCGCAAUGUGAGAAAUCGCGACGGGGGGAUCCCAAGUGCCAUUCUUAACGGGAUGGCUUUUCAUUAGUGUAAAGAGCUUUUGGAAUAAGAGCUGGGCAAGACCGGUGCCAGCCGCCGCGGUAACACCGGCAGCUCUAGUGGUAACAAUUUUUAUUGGGCCUAAAGCGUCCGUAGCCGGUUUAAUAAGUCUCUGGUGAAAUCCUGUAGCUUAACUGUGGGAAUUGCUGGAGAUACUAUUAGACUUGAGACCGGGAGAGGUUAGAGGUACUCCCAGGGUAGAGGUGAAAUUCUGUAAUCCUGGGAGGACCGCCUGUUGCGAAGGCGUCUAACUGGAACGGUUCUGACGGUGAGGGACGAAAGUUAGGGGCGCGAACCGGAUUAGAUACCCGGGUAGUCCUAACUGUAAACGAUGCGGACUUGGUGUUGGGGUGGCUUUGAGCUGCUCCAGUGCCGAAGGGAAGCUGUUAAGUCCGCCGCCUGGGAAGUACGGUCGCAAGACUGAAACUUAAAAGGAAG